CUGGGAUAACCUAUCGAAAGAUGGNCUAAUACCGGAUAAGACCACGGGAGUUUCGGCUUCUGCGNCCAAAGGUGGCCUCUACUUGUAAGCUACCACUUGGAGAUGGGCCUGCGGCCCAUUAGCUAGUUGGUGAGNUAACGGCUCACCAAGGCUACGAUGGCUAGCUGGUCUAAGAGGAUGAUCAGCCACACUGGGACUGAGACACGGCCCAGACUCCUACGGGAGGCAGCAGUAGGGAAUAUUGCGCAAUGGGGGAAACCCUGACGCACCGACCCCGCGUGGGUGAUGAAGGCCUUCGGGUCGUAAAGCCCUGUCGGAGGGGAAGAAGGGUUGGCGCUCGAACAGGGCGUUGACUUGACGGUACCUUCAAAGAACACC
This 378-nucleotide ribosomal RNA is filed under the name uncultured eubacterium HRS-19. RNAcentral's name for it is "bacterial SSU rRNA". It matches the Rfam family "Bacterial small subunit ribosomal RNA", at positions 138 to 493 of the family's 1533-position model. The record is from RNAcentral. Lineage: Bacteria; Bacillati; Bacillota; Bacilli; Caryophanales; Bacillaceae.